RNAcentral lists this ribosomal RNA (253 nucleotides) under uncultured bacterium. Its description in RNAcentral is "partial 16S ribosomal RNA". It matches the Rfam family "Bacterial small subunit ribosomal RNA", at positions 524 to 776 of the family's 1533-position model. The record is from RNAcentral.
UACAGAGGGUGCAAGCGUUAAUCGGAAUUACUGGGCGUAAAGCGUGCGUAGACGGUUAUUUAAGUCAGGUGUGAAAGCCCCGGGCUCAACCUGGGAAUUGCAUUUGAGACUGAAUAGCUGGAGUGCGGCAGAGGGGGAUGGAAUUCCGCGUGUAGCAGUGAAAUGCGUAGAUAUGCGGAGGAACACCGAUGGCGAAGGCAAUCCCCUGGGCCUGCACUGACGCUCAUGCACGAAAGCGUGGGGAGCAAACAGG